GGGGGUUUCCCCUACUUUUCCCGGGGCGAACAAACCCCGGGCCGAAUUGCCCCGGGUGAGCCCACCUAGCCGUUUGGACGCCCGCGAGCCCGCUAUUCCGCGUCGAUUCCGCGUCCAACCCGGGGAGCCCGUUCUGCCCGUCGUGAGGCGAGGAAGAGAUUCCGCGAGGCGACUCGCGUCGGAUGGCAACUCCGAGGGCGACGACGACCGGACCUCCUCCCCUCCCCUCCUCCGGCAACCGAACCCCCACCCCUCCCCACUCCGGCAACUAGACCCAAGCCCCUCCACACAUCGCCUCGAAGCCUCUCCCCUCCCAGCCGGAGUGCCUCAAAGAUCCAGAGCUGUACUCCGCCACCAUCGUACCCCCAGUCCGCCUUCAAGAUCCUCCUCUCCGGCAGCAACGACGGUGGUCCGAUCCAGAUUCUUGGUACAGCGAGGAGCAAGAAACGAGCGAGGAUCUGUUGUAAUAUGUUCUAAUAAUUUGGGUACAAAUGUCUGGCUUGAACCGUAUAUGGUAUACCCAAGCAGUAGGAUCAAACUUGUAAGCUUGUCAUGAUCCAGAAGAAUAAAGUUUUGUUUGUGCCAUUUAACAAAAUCCCGUGCUGCUGCAGUUAUUUCCAAGCACAAAUCAGUUCAAUACUUAUAUAUCUUAGUGCAUAUGAUCUUGGUCCUCGUGUUUUGACUCAUAUAAAAAAGCAGUUUACUAUGUAGCUCUUGUAGCUCUGUAGCUCUUGUAUUUCUGUAGCUCUUGUAUUUCCCAAGAACAUGUGUUCGUUGAUUCUCUGUUCUCGUUUUGCUUUUCUUACCUUAUUCAUCCCCUCACUGAGUUUUUGCUUCAGAUUAGGAACGCUAGGUUGCUGCUCGAAAGAUAGGACUUGGUGAUUCAUUUUCAGAGAUUGCUGUCUUCUUGUUUGUUCAGAUCUACCCGUCCUCUUGCUCUGUUCUUUGAGCUCAGCAUCACAUAUUGAUUUUCGUUGCAGGUGAUGAAUCCUGAAGUCCACAAGGUCUUGGAGCUGGACAACACAUGGGCAAUUUGCGCUCUUCCACUUCCCUACUCGUAUUGGUUUGUUUGAUACUAAAUGGUGCAUCUGUUAUUUGGCUACUGAGUAGAAAAGUAGCAUUCCUGCUAGUGAGUAGAUUUAAAUCAUUGUGGUCUUGUCUCUAGAUAUCUUACAGCACUAGCUGUCAGUUUGUACUGCAGCUACAUGUUUUACAGUAGUUUUGUCUUUAGAUAAUUUUUUUUGUUCAUGUAAGAUCUGGCAUAUAGAUACAAGCAUGUUGAUUAACAAGAAAAUAUUGUAUGAUGGCAGUAUGGUGGCAGUACAUGAAUGAUAGA
Lolium perenne is the source of this 1336-nucleotide non-coding RNA. The record is from RefSeq and is a predicted model, not a curated record. NCBI's taxonomy places the organism in Eukaryota, Viridiplantae, Streptophyta, Magnoliopsida, Poales, Poaceae.